This is a long non-coding RNA of Seriola dumerili (greater amberjack), 441 nucleotides long. RefSeq lists it as uncharacterized. NCBI's taxonomy places the organism in Eukaryota, Metazoa, Chordata, Actinopteri, Carangiformes, Carangidae. The transcript has 3 exons. The record is from RefSeq and is a predicted model, not a curated record.
AUAAACUUCAAGGAGGAAGAAGAAGAAGCAGAAGAAGGACGCUACCACCUGACUAGUAAGGGCUAAUCAUAUUCAUGCAGGUGCACGACGCGGCUUUUACGACAUUUCUCACUACUCUGGAGGAUUCUCUGUCAAUAAAAAGAGACGCUGUGGUCGGCUGCUUCAGCUUCCAGGACAGAAGAGAGCCGAGUCGAAAACCACCGCUCUUGUUGAGGACCCACUCACUCACCUGAUUUCCACUCGCCAUUAACCCGAGGAGGAAGCCAGAGAGGACCCAUGCAGAACAUAAAAACUCUACAAAGAAAGGCCCCAGACUUGGGGUUCUAACAACUGCACCACCUUGCUGCCCCAUAAAAAAGUCAUAGUAAGGCAUAAAAUGUCAUUGUAUAGUAGAGCUAAAAAAAAGUCAAUGGUAUGCUAAUGCAUUAGAGUUGCUUAUUA